This 252-nucleotide ribosomal RNA is filed under the name uncultured bacterium. RNAcentral describes it as "partial 16S ribosomal RNA". It matches the Rfam family "Bacterial small subunit ribosomal RNA", at positions 524 to 776 of the family's 1533-position model. The record is from RNAcentral.
UACGGAGGAUGCGAGCGUUAUCCGGAUUUAUUGGGUUUAAAGGGUGCGCAGGCGGCACGGCAAGCCGGCGGUCAAAUCGCGGGGCUCAACCCCGCCCAGCCGUCGGAACUGCCGGGCUAGAGUGGGCGAGAAGUGCGCGGAAUGCGUGGUGUAGCGGUGAAAUGCAUAGAUAUCACGCAGAACUCCGAUUGCGAAGGCAGCGCACCGGCGCCCAACUGACGCUCAGGCACGAAAGCGUGGGUAUCGAACAGG